This is a long non-coding RNA of Mangifera indica (mango), 602 nucleotides long. RefSeq lists it as uncharacterized. The record is from RefSeq and is a predicted model, not a curated record. The transcript has 3 exons. NCBI's taxonomy places the organism in Eukaryota, Viridiplantae, Streptophyta, Magnoliopsida, Sapindales, Anacardiaceae.
AAGAAAUGAAAAUGAACAUAAAGAAAAAUGUGGAAGCUGCCAAUGACGUUAAACCUAUAGCAAACUCUACAUUUUCUUCAUUUUCACAUAAGAAGAAAGAAAGUCAAAGACAUCUCAAAUCUUCCUUCCAAGCAAGUUUUAGUUCUGCCCUCCUUAGAUAUAUAAUCAAUCUAAGUUCAGAAAUCAGAAGCAAAGUUUGUUUCUUUACACAAGAUGAGUGAUCCCAAAUAUGGUUAUCCUUAUCCUGCUCAAGGUUAUUAUCAAGGGCCUCCAGUGAUGGCUCCUCCUCAAUAUGCUGCUCAACCACCCAGGAGACAGGCAGGCUUUCUUGAGGGAUGUCUGGCUGCUUUGUGUUGCUGCUGCCUGAUUGAUGAGUGUUGCUGCGAUCCCUCCAUCAUCUUUAUAAGCUGAUGAUUUUAAUGUAAUUCCACUUCUGUUUAUGUUUAUGUUAUGUCAUGCCAAUAUUAUAUGGUUUAAUGAUUGAAAUAAGUUGUGUUUAUUUUAACUUGUUAGUAGUGUAAAUAUUUAAGAGUAUUUCUUAGAUAUGCUUGUAAUGUUUGAAUCUUUGAUUUAUUUGUCAAGGAUGGAGUUUGUUGUUUUUA